Long non-coding RNA from Corylus avellana, 380 nucleotides. RefSeq lists it as uncharacterized. Lineage: Eukaryota; Viridiplantae; Streptophyta; Magnoliopsida; Fagales; Betulaceae. The record is from RefSeq and is a predicted model, not a curated record.
UCAGCCAAAAUUAUAUACAAGAAAGUAAUUACAGUAAUAACAACCAUGCAGCUUUCAGAACUGCAUUCAUCAAGUGUUUUCCUUUAGAGUGUCUAUAUUUGUAAAUAUGCAAAUCAUUGAUUCGCAUUCAUACCAGAACAGCUCAAGUUUCUUUGUUCAGAAGGGCUGGAGGCAGUGUAAUACCAUGCCAUCAGCUAGUACAUUUGGAUCUAACAGUAACAGGUUAAGUAAUUAAAACGCAGUGGCCAUGGAAGUAUGGUUUGCUAGUGGAUUAUUGACAGCAGCAGGGGAAAAUUUGACUUUCUUUAUUCACUUCAGCCUACUUUGUCUCUUUUAUUUUUGGUUGAUUUGUAAAUAGUGAUUAACUCAUUGAUGACGAG